Anolis sagrei ordinatus is the source of this 103-nucleotide small nuclear RNA. The record is from RefSeq and is a predicted model, not a curated record. NCBI's taxonomy places the organism in Eukaryota, Metazoa, Chordata, Lepidosauria, Squamata, Anolidae.
GAGCUUCAUCAGCACAUAUAUUAAAAUUAAAAUGAUACAGAGAAGAUUGGCAUGAUUCUUGCACAAGGAUGACACACAAAUUAUUGAAGCAUUCCAUAUUUUU